AUUGAACGCUGGCGGCAGGCCUAACACAUGCCAGUCGAGCGGAUGAAGGGAGCUUGCUCCUGGAUUCAGCGGCGGACGGGUGAGUAAUGCCUAGGAAUCUGCCUGGUAGUGGGGGAUAACGUCCGGAAACGGGCGCUAAUACCGCAUACGUCCUGAGGGAGAAAGUGGGGGAUCUUCGGACCUCACGCUAUCAGAUGAGCCUAGGUCGGAUUAGCUAGUUGGUGGGGUAAAGGCCUACCAAGGCGACGAUCCGUAACUGGUCUGAGAGGAUGAUCAGUCACACUGGAACUGAGACACGGUCCAGACUCCUACGGGAGGCAGCAGUGGGGAAUAUUGGACAAUGGGCGAAAGCCUGAUCCAGCCAUGCCGCGUGCGUGAAGAAGGUCUUCGGAUUGUAAAGCACUUUAAGUUGGGAGGAAGGGCAGUAAGUUAAUACCUUGCUGUUUUGACGUUACCAACAGAAUAAGCACCGGCUAACUCCGUG
Molecule: ribosomal RNA, 484 nt
Filed under: uncultured bacterium
Lineage: Bacteria
Description: partial 16S ribosomal RNA
Rfam family: Bacterial small subunit ribosomal RNA
Source: RNAcentral